CAAGUCACGGGGGCCCGCAAGGGUAACCGGCGAACGGGUGCGUAACACGUGAGCAAUCUGCCGUACACUGGGGGAUAGCCGGCCCAACGGCCGGGUAAUACCGCAUACGCUCCUUUGGCGGCAUCGCUGAGGGAGGAAACCUCCGGGGGUGUACGAGGAGCUCGCGGCCUAUCAGGUAGUUGGUGGGGUCACGGCCUACCAAGCCAUUGACGGGUAGCUGGUCUGAGAGGAUGGCCAGCCACAUUGGGACUGAGAUACGGCCCAGACUCCUACGGGAGGCAGCAGUGGGGAAUAUUGCGCAAUGGCCGCAAGGCUGACGCAGCGACGCCGCGUGGGGGAUGAAGCAUUUCGGUGUGUAAACCCCUGUUGCUCGGGACGAACAGCUCUUUUCGAGGAGCCUGACGGUACCGGGUGAGGAAGCACCGGCUAACUCCGUGCCAGCAGCCGCGGUAAUACGGAGGGUGCGAGCGUUGUCCGGAAUCACUGGGCGUAAAGGGCGCGUAGGUGGUCUGCUAAGCGUGCGGUGAAAGCCCGGGGCUCAACCCCGGGUCGGCCGUGCGAACUGGUGGACUGGAGCACUGUAGAGGCAGGUGGAAUUCCGGGUGUAGCGGUGGAAUGCGUAGAGGUCCGGAAGAACACCGGUGGCGAAGGCGGCCUGCUGGGCAGUUGCUGACACUGAGGCGCGACAGCGUGGGGAGCAAACAGGAUUAGAUACCCUGGUAGUCCACGCCGUAAACGAUGGGGACUAGGUGCUUGGGGGAGCGACCCCUCGAGUGCCGGCGCUAACGCAUUAAGUCCCCCGCCUGGGGAGUACGGCCGCAAGGCUGAAACUCAAAGGAAUUGACGG
Molecule: ribosomal RNA, 847 nt
Filed under: uncultured bacterium
Lineage: Bacteria
Description: bacterial SSU rRNA
Rfam family: Bacterial small subunit ribosomal RNA
Source: RNAcentral